UGGGGAAUAUUGCACAAUGGGCGAAAGCCUGAUGCAGCAACGCCGCGUGAGUGAUGAAGGCCUUCGGGCUGUAAAGCUCUGUCUUUUGGGACGAUAAUGACGGUACCAAAGGAGGAAGCCACGGCUAACUACGUGCCAGCAGCCGCGGUAAUACGUAGGUGGCAAGCGUUGUCCGGAUUUACUGGGCGUAAAGGAUGCGUAGGCGGAUUUUUAAGUGAGAUGUGAAAUACCCGGGCUUAACUUGGGUGCUGCAUUUCAAACUGGGAAUCUAGAGUGCGGGAGAGGAGAAUGGAAUUCCUAGUGUAGCGGUGAAAUGCGUAGAGAUUAGGAAGAACACCAGUGGCGAAGGCGAUUCUCUGGACCGUAACUGACGCUGAGGCAUGAAAGCGUGGGUAGCAAACAGGAUUAGAUACCCUGGUAGUCCACGCCGUAAACGAUGAGUACUAGGUGUAGGAGGUAUCGACCCCUUCUGUGCCGCAGUUAACACAAUCAAGUACUCCGCCUGGGAAGUACGAUCGCAAGAUUAAAACUUAAAUGAAUUGAC
This 544-nucleotide ribosomal RNA is filed under the name uncultured bacterium. RNAcentral describes it as "partial 16S ribosomal RNA". It matches the Rfam family "Bacterial small subunit ribosomal RNA", at positions 355 to 914 of the family's 1533-position model. The record is from RNAcentral.